AAGCGUCAGCUGCUCAUGACGUCCACCAUCGUAAAGCAGACGUCCAGCCUUCACUUUUCACAAACGCCUUUUUUUCCGUCUCCACAGCUUCCCACUGGUGGCACCAUGUUCGGGUUUUCCACCUCAACCUCCUCUGCUUUUACUUUAUUUUUUAACAUCUGUGUCUUUACUGUUUUUGUCGCUGCAGCAGAGGCGCAGACACCGUCCCCGGCUCCGGCUCCUUGUAGCCUGAAAUCCAACAGUAGUUGUGAUGAAUGUCUGCAGAAUGUGGCAUGUUUGUGGUGCUCUUCCACCCAACAAUGCAUGGACUACCCAGUGAAGAACAUCCUGCCCCCCAGCAGUGUUUGCCCCCUGAAUGAUGCACGAUGGGGGGUGUGUUGGGUCAACUUCCAGAUAUUGAUCAUCACCAUGUCAGUACUGGCUGGAGUCAUCAUCAUUGCCAUUCUCGUCUGCUGCUUCUGCUGCUGCAAGUGUCAGAGGAUUGGAAACAAAAGAGAAGAUGCGCAGGUGGAGAGACAGACCCGAGCGAGGAAGGCCCGUCAGAAAGCCAGGUGAAUGGCUGUUGAGAAAACAGAGAUCCAGCUGAGGCAUGAUGAAAUAAGACAGAAAUAUGGCAUAGCGAAGGAAAAUCCUUACGCCCGCAUGGAUGAUCAUUAGGAGGAAUGUCCGUGAAGAGGAUCUUUUUGAUGCCAAUGAAAUACAGUCACAUGUGUAACUAUUGAUAAACUGUGAUCUUCCAGAUUAAUUUCAGUGUGACCGAGCUAAAAAUAAAAACCUUGUCUUUACUUAACACUUGUUUCACAAACAAAGGCCCCCUAAUGUCAGUUUAAAAGGAUUGUUCAACUAAUAUGCUUUUCUGUCCAUGUGUAAAACAAGCUGUAAGGCACAGUGUUGUCACCCAAGACAGGCUAAAACAUUGAUACUGAAGGAUUUUACAGAUAUUGCAGUGUUAUAACAGCUAUGCUUUCAUUCUGCAUCAGAACGACUGCGGUCUGAUCUAAAGGGCCUCUAACAGGUUUUUAUUUUGUCUGAUUUCAAACUUUAUUAGAUUAGUCUUAAAAUGUAUCAGAGUCUUUUAAUGACUUGAUUCGUCAGAUCUUUGUGCAGGUAAUAAUAGAUUUGAAAAUAAAGACAAUAAACAAUUG
This is an RNA transcript of Xiphophorus couchianus (Monterrey platyfish), 1145 nucleotides long. It is a transcript of the gene named PTTG1 interacting protein b, with no coding region annotated. The record is from RefSeq and is a predicted model, not a curated record. The transcript has 7 exons. Lineage: Eukaryota; Metazoa; Chordata; Actinopteri; Cyprinodontiformes; Poeciliidae.